Molecule: ribosomal RNA, 433 nt
Filed under: uncultured bacterium
Lineage: Bacteria
Description: partial 16S ribosomal RNA
Rfam family: Bacterial small subunit ribosomal RNA
Source: RNAcentral
AACGAACGCUGGCGGCAUGCCUAACCCAUGCAAGUCGAACGAGACCUUCGGGUCUAGUGGCGCACGGGUGCGUAAAGCGUGGGAACCUGCCCUUAGGUUCGGAAUAACUCCCCGACAGGGGUGCUAAUACCGGCUAAUGUCUUCGGACCAAAGAUUUAUCGCCUUUGGAUGGGCCCGCGUUGGAUUAGCUAGUUGGUAGGGCAAAAGCCUACCAAGGCGACGAUCCAUAGCUGGUCUGAGAGGAUGAUCAGCCACACUGGGACUGAGACACGGCCCAGACUCCUACGGGAGGCAGCAGUGGGGAAGAUUGGACAAUGGGCGAAAGCCUGAUCCAGCAAUGCCGCGUGAGUGAUGAAGGCCUUAGGGUUGUAAAGCUCUUUUACCCGGGAUGAUAAUGACAGUACCGGGAGAAUAAGCUCCGGCUAACUCCGUG